UAAAGCUGCAGGCGGGCUGGACCUCUCGGGGUUACAGCCUUGCUGAAUUAUUCACCCUUGUCUUUUGCGUACUUCUUGUUUCCUUGGUGGGUUCGCCCACCACUAGGACAAACAUAAACCUUUUGUAAUUGCAAUCAGCGUCAGUAACAAAUUAAUAAUUACAACUUUCAACAACGGAUCUCUUGGUUCUGGCAUCGAUGAAGAACGCAGCGAAAUGCGAUAAGUAGUGUGAAUUGCAGAAUUCAGUGAAUCAUCGAAUCUUUGAACGCACAUUGCGCCCUUUGGUAUUCCAAAGGGCAUGCCUGUUCGAGCGUCAUUUGUACCCUCAAGCUUUGCUUGGUGUUGGGCGUCUUGUCUCUAGCUUUGCUGGAGACUCGCCUUAAAGUAAUUGGCAGCCGGCCUACUGGUUUCGGAGCGCAGCACAAGUCGCACUCUCUAUCAGCAAAGGUCUAGCAUCCAUUAAGCCUUUUUUUCAACUUUUGACCUCGGAUCAGGUAGGGAUACCCGCUGAACUUAAGCAUAUCAUAG
Molecule: ribosomal RNA, 528 nt
Filed under: Alternaria alternata
Lineage: Eukaryota; Fungi; Ascomycota; Dothideomycetes; Pleosporales; Pleosporaceae
Description: eukaryotic LSU rRNA
Rfam family: 5.8S ribosomal RNA (bases 163-316)
Source: RNAcentral